UAAGGGAAGAACGGAGCUGUAGCUGAAUUGAUGCUUGAGAGGACUUUUGUACAUGAGUUUGCAGGUUACAUGUAGAUGGCCCUCGAACACCAUGCCAAAACGACGAACAAGAGAACGCGAGAAGGAAAAGGAUGUGAGCUGACGCAUCGCGCUGUAAGCGCUCGAAGCCGACAAGGCAACACAAGGACCAUGCGGUUCGAGGCUUCCUUCCCUCGACCCUUCGCCGGCGUGCUCUCCGACCAGUCGGACCCGUCUUCCUCGAAGAUGGUGUCGAGGGUCAGCGCCCGGGCUGCUCGUCUCGCGCUGCUGCUGGUGCGCCGCCACGGCGCCACCGCGGAGAAGGGGACCUUCGGCGACCGAGGAGAGCUCGGGGCCACCUCGAAGAAGAAGGAAGCUAGUUGUACGCUGGCCAUCUUUGCCUGAGCUAUGGAGCUUGAGGUCUAAGGACUCGACCGACUUGUUCUUACACCACGGAGAGGGAAGGAUCUUUAUAGAGAAGAAGAAAGGUAAAUGCACUUGAAUCAUUCCUUUAU
This 533-nucleotide long non-coding RNA is filed under the name Musa acuminata (dwarf banana). Its description in RNAcentral is "long non-coding RNA (MACU_LNC002923)". Lineage: Eukaryota; Viridiplantae; Streptophyta; Magnoliopsida; Zingiberales; Musaceae. The record is from RNAcentral.